RNAcentral lists this ribosomal RNA (330 nucleotides) under uncultured bacterium. Its description in RNAcentral is "bacterial SSU rRNA". It matches the Rfam family "Bacterial small subunit ribosomal RNA", at positions 335 to 677 of the family's 1533-position model. The record is from RNAcentral.
ACUCCUACGGGAGGCAGCAGUCGAGAAUCGUCCGCAAUGCACUAACGUGUGACGGCGCGACGUCGCGUGAUGGAUGAAUCACUUCGGUGUGUAAACAUCUUUUAUGAGGGAGGAAAUUUAUUGACGUGUACCUCAUGUAAUAAGGGCGUCCUAAUUCGUGCCAGCAGGAGCGGUAACACGAAUGCCCCGAGCGUUAUCCGGAAUUACUGGGCGUAAAGGGUCCGCAGGCGGCUCUGUUAGUCCGGCGUUAAAUCACGAGGCUUAACCUCGUGGCUGCGUCGGAAACGGCAGAGCUUGAGGGUGUGAGAGGUGAGUGGAACCGACGGUGUA